RNAcentral lists this ribosomal RNA (400 nucleotides) under phytoplankton environmental sample. Its description in RNAcentral is "partial small subunit ribosomal RNA". It matches the Rfam family "Eukaryotic small subunit ribosomal RNA", at positions 587 to 975 of the family's 1831-position model. The record is from RNAcentral.
AGCUCCAAUAGCGUAUAUUAAAGUUGCUGCAGUUAAAAAGCUCGUAGUUGGAUUUGUGGGAUGGCCGUCCGGCGGGGGGCCUUUCAUGGUCCCGUUUGUCCUGGUUUUCGGCCUUCCCUUUCUCGGGUCUAGCGUAUUGGCUGGCAUUAGGUUGUCGGCCGCUUCGCGCCCGUCGUUUACUGUGAAAAAAUUAGAGUGUUCAAAGCAGGCUUAGGCCGUUGGAUACAUUAGCAUGGAAUAAUGAGAUAGGGCCACCGCGGUCUAUUUUGUUGGUUUGCACGUUGUGGUAAUGAUUAACAGGAACGGUUGGGGGUAUUCGUAUUCAAUUGUCAGAGGUGAAAUUCUUGGAUUUGUGGAAGACGAACUACUGCGAAAGCAUUUACCAAGGAUGUUUUCAUUA